CCUACGGGUGGCAGCAGUGGGGAAUAUUGGACAAUGGGGGCAACCCUGAUCCAGCCAUGCCGCGUGUGUGAAGAAGGCCCUCGGGUUGUAAAGCACUUUCAGUGAGGAAGAACGCCUGGUGGUUAAUACCCAUCAGGAAAGACAUCACUCACAGAAGAAGCACCGGCUAACUCCGUGCCAGCAGCCGCGGUAAUACGGAGGGUGCGAGCGUUAAUCGGAAUUACUGGGCGUAAAGCGCGCGUAGGUGGCUUGAUAAGCCGGUUGUGAAAGCCCCGGGCUCAACCUGGGAACGGCAUCCGGAACUGUCAAGCUAGAGUGCAGGAGAGGAAGGUAGAAUUCCCGGUGUAGCGGUGAAAAGCGUAGAGAUCGGGAGGAAUACCAGUGGCGAAGGCGGCCUUCUGGACUGACACUGACACUGAGGUGCGAAAGCGUGGGUAGCAAACAGGAUUAGAUACCCUGGUAGUC
This 465-nucleotide ribosomal RNA is filed under the name Vreelandella stevensii. Its description in RNAcentral is "partial 16S ribosomal RNA". It matches the Rfam family "Bacterial small subunit ribosomal RNA", at positions 338 to 795 of the family's 1533-position model. Lineage: Bacteria; Pseudomonadati; Pseudomonadota; Gammaproteobacteria; Oceanospirillales; Halomonadaceae. The record is from RNAcentral.